UUUAAAAAACCUGCGUCUUAUCACGCUCUCGCUUCCUUUCCGGACGCAGCAGAAAGGAGAAGGUGAGGUGCGGACGGCGGAGCAGCAGAAGUUCAGGGGCGGCGCGGCGGAGAGAAGUUGAGUGGCCGAGCCCUUGCCGCCGGACGGCUACAGCCGUCUCCUGCUUCCUUUCCAGCCGCGGCAGAGCAGGAGAAGUUGAGGGGCGGGCGGAGCAGGAGAGGUUCAGGCGCGGCGCGGCAGGCGGAGCAAGAGAGGUUCAGGCGCGGCGCGGCGGAGCAGGAGAGGUUCAGGGGCGGUGCCGACGGAGCAGCAGUGGUUCAGGGGCGGUGCCCUUGUCGACGGACGGCUACAGCCGUGGCGGAGCACAAGGCGGGAGAGGUUCAGGGGCGGGUCGGCACUGGCCUGGCCGGGAACGCGGGCUGCCUGGAGGUGCUCAUCGCCUCGCCGUGGUCCUGAAGCCCCUCAAGCAUCUCCUGCCCGCGUGGCCGCCAUAGCACUGUUGUUGGAUGGGUGUGGCUUCUGCUGAAUUUUCGUCACCCUGAGCUUCUGGCGAGUUUGCUCCCCUGAGCCAUAACAGAGGGAGUGAGAAGGGAGAAGAGGAAAAAAGACCUUGCUGAUCGAGACGAUAUUGACACCAUUUUUUGUGUGUUGGAGCGAUUUGAACCAUGGCAACCAGAGUGAUUUGUUAGGUGUGUAUCUAUAUUGCAUUCUGUACAACAAGAGAUUUGGUUACUUCUCUUUUACAAAACUAGAUUAUGUGGGACGUUGCCAUUUGCUGAAACAAUUACGGUAGAGUAUUACUGUACAUCACUAUCACUUUUAGUAACUUCAUUCAUGACACCUUUGAACCAUUCAAAUGAGCCUUGUUCCCUGGCUAAUCCAAUUGAAGUUUGGUCGGCUUGGCCCGUUGCUCUUGAAGGUGUUGCCAAACUCCUCUUCAUGCAUGCUUUACUGCUCCUGUUGAAUCCAAUUCAUUUUGGACAUUGUGCAUCUAUACUCAUGUAUGAGAAAGAGCUUUCAAUGAUUUAGUUACUUUAUUGGACUUUAUGUUGUUCAGGAGAUCCUUCACUAUGCUGAUGAAAGAGUUGCACCAAUUCCAAAGCUGAUAAGCAAAAGGAUGACAUAUUUUUUGCAAUUUUGAGAUGGUGCACUGAAAGGGCCAUCAAUAAAAAUCUAGCAAAUCUAAAUGAAGACAGCCAAGUCACUUAGGUUAGUGAGGAGGUGCAACAGCAUGAGUUCGGAUUUUCUCCACUUGCAUAUGUUUUUCUAUUGAUUUAUUGUAUCAAAAUUGUCAAGUAGUCAAUUAGUGAUGGCACAUGUUUUCUGAUUCUUGCAUAUUUGAGAGAGGCAAACUGCACGUGGGAUUGAUGAUCAGGCAUUAAUUCAAUGCCAGCCUCAUUGCCAUUAGUUUUGGGUAGAAUUUUUAUUAGCUGAACAUUCCUUCUGAUUAGGACCUGAUGAUGAUCCAAGACGGUGUAACAAGAUAAUGUAGUACGAGAGUAUUUCACAAAUCACAAUCUCUGAAGAAGACUAUGCACUACUACACAGAAUUAUAUAGACUGGCACUUGAUCUAUACAGUACUGAAUAAUUCAUUCAGUUCAAGCUAUGUAUCUACGGAACAAGAAUUAUCUCGUAACAAAAAAUAGUUGGUACAAAGUUGUCAUCUUGGUUAUUAUUACCCUUAAUGGCAUUAACGAUGUUAGUAGCUACAGCCUACAUAUGUGUGCCAUAAGAGAGUGUAAGCCUCGUGGUGCGUUGAUACUGUAGCUGCCACUCCAAAAGGUUCCAUUGACCUUAUACAUCACUUCCAUCUGUUUGAUUCAUUUUGGUUCAUGACAACUGGCCUCUAAAGCUUGUGUCAUGUAGUCCAUCAACUAAAUGUGCUGUAUUAGGAUGUCUAAUUCUUAAGUGUAACCAGGGAUCAGUUUUAUUUGAUUUGAAUUAACAAGAUGGCUUGUACAUUAUUUAUAAUGAUUAUAGAUAUUAUGAUCUCAGUCGCUUGAUUUGAAGGCCGCAAAUUUAUUAUCCCGUUGCAACGUACGGGCCAUUUUGCUACUGUUUGCCGACGAGAAUAUGCCAGUCACAAGUUACAUGUUGCUGCCGUCGGCUGGUGAUUCUUUUGCUACUUCAGGGGCCACCAGCGGCACCUGCUGCGAACUAUUGCAUUGCUGGUUUGUGUCUCUGGGACUGUUUCGCAAAUCAUGUCAAUGAGACUAGCAAUUUGAAGAGACAUGGUCUGAAGAUAUUUGCAUAUACAGUGCUGUAGAUUCUCCCACUGAACAUAUCAAAAUAGCAGGUUCCCUGAUCUUAUAAAUAAACAAUAUUAGUUAAUUGUUGAUAAUGUACUAAUAACCUCAUUUGCAUGUGCCUAACGCCCUAAUCUUUGAUCCAGCAGCAUUUUGGUAAGCAUAUCUUUGGCCCAAGUAAAAAAGAAGAGUUGAGCUUUCACUCUCUCUGGUUGGCUGAAGGUAUCUGGAGUUUAGCCCUGCUGCAGUGUAAGGAAAGCCAUGACCUCCAAAUAGACUGUGCAUAUGAACCAAGGAUAACAGAAACAAGCUAUGCUUGCAACUCAGUUUUCAGGUAUCUUCCCCAACGAAUAUUGCCCUGGUACUGACAGGUUGUCAGUACAUAUCUUGGUGUGGACUUCACCAGCCGUUCAACUUUUCACUCCAUUAUAUAUUCAGAGACCACUGAUUACUCACCCCAGCCAAUAUAUGGUUCACUGGAUCAUUGAUAGGUCACGAUUGACAAAGAUCAAACAUUUUGUGGAGAACUAGGGAAGAGAGAAAUGUUGCACUGUAGUUUGAUUGACACAGGUUCGCACAUAUACAACUUCGCUUAUAGCUUUGAUACUACUCAAAUAUUCAUGAAUGAUUUGCUUUCAUUUAUUUCUGUCGGGUUGAAUGUGAGGAACUUGAUUUAUUGAUAAUUUGAUGUAUGUGUGUUUACAUUGCAAUGAAGGCCAUGAUAGGCAUGUCAUAUGUUCAGGUAUGCGUAAUGAAAACUAUUUUUGUAGCAAGUUUCUAUGGAUGAUUACGAGCAAUCUUAUUCAAAAUCAAAUGUUCUCAUGUAUCAUUUUUGUUGUUAUGCAUGUAUAUUGCAGAGUAUGGCGGCCCCUAUUUUCAAGAAUUCAUACCUGAGAGCAGAUGUGUUAGUUACUACUGUAGUAUUUAAAUUCUUCAAAUUUAAAGGUGGAUAUCUAGCGGAAGGACGAGACAUUGCCGGUGGAGAGUAUUGUCAGGCCAAAGACCCAUAUAUCGUGGCAUUAGUUGUCGAUUAGGAAGUUUAGUAUGCAGGUGGAGAUGACAUGAUUUUUUUUCUUCUUUAUAUUGAAAUCGUCUAGCGGCAUUUUACAUGUUAACCAUGUUUUUUUGCUGAAUCUGUUCAAAUCUUCGAUCAGAAUUUUGUGGAAAGAAAAGGUGAACCAUUAUUCCAUCUAUAUAGGAUUGUAGAAUGUUGUUCAGUUAAUAAUAUUUCAUUGUUGUUGUA
Non-coding RNA from Triticum urartu, 3490 nucleotides. The record is from RefSeq and is a predicted model, not a curated record. Lineage: Eukaryota; Viridiplantae; Streptophyta; Magnoliopsida; Poales; Poaceae.